This 105-nucleotide transfer RNA is filed under the name Stutzerimonas stutzeri. Its description in RNAcentral is "tRNA-OTHER". The record is from RNAcentral. Lineage: Bacteria; Pseudomonadati; Pseudomonadota; Gammaproteobacteria; Pseudomonadales; Pseudomonadaceae. RNAcentral also lists the same sequence under 1 other name.
GCUCGGCGUAGACGAAUCGGUAGAGUCACGGCCGAGGAAGAUUGCCAGAAGUGGCAAGACAGCCGGGAAAACAUUGCGUGCAGGUUCGAAUCCUGCCGCCGAGCG